RNAcentral lists this long non-coding RNA (226 nucleotides) under Phaseolus vulgaris (common bean). RNAcentral describes it as "long non-coding RNA (PVUL_LNC003806)". Lineage: Eukaryota; Viridiplantae; Streptophyta; Magnoliopsida; Fabales; Fabaceae. The record is from RNAcentral.
CCCGAACCGCCAAGAGCGGCGUGUCAAGGUUCACAUGGUGACUUACUAGGUCUGCUUAUCCGGUGACGACUGCUGCAACCCUGAAAAUCUUGCUCCCUGAUAUGUUAGGGUUGCUGCAACCACCAUGGACAGAGAGUUCCCAGCUUAUGUUGCUAUCAGUGACAAUAUCACCUUCAAGGUGCUUUCUCUCUUUUCCCCAAUCUAACUUCAUGCAAAUUAUUCUAUG